GAAGGAAAUCAAUGGAGCUGCAGCUCAAGGUUAUUGGCUUUUGCUUGGGGGGUUUGGAACUGCAGGACUUAGAGCCAGAUCGAUGUGGUGAAUGGUGAUACACUCAUAUGCUAAUGCACAUGACAUUGAAGAAAGAUGACAUGAGAUUGCACGAGCUUUGUGCCGUCUAUCACGCAUCGGAUGGUUGCGAGCAACCGCUGGUUUGGUGGAUGAUGAUGUAAAACCGAUGGUUUCACGAUCUCCAGGCAGGAAUCACCUCAAGAUGAGUAAUCUAUUCAUGGAGCAGCAGAAGGGGCUAGUGCUCCACCAUGCAUGCAGGACACCGGGUUUCUUUGACCUAGGCGAGCUCCAUCAAAGGUCGUGUGAGAUUUUAUUAACCAUAAUGGAUGUGAAACCUAGUGCUACUCACAUAGUCUAAAUGGAAUCGCCCAGAAGAGACACAUAGAGAAUACUUGUUUGUACUUACAAAAUCACAGCCUGCGAGGAAAUUGCUUCUAAGCACGAAUCCCGAGGUAUUGAUUUUCUGUCACGUAAUCCAUACAUUGCUGCUAAUUUUUAGUCGAAGUGUAUAAUCUUGAAAAGCAAGAGACUCAAAUAAGUAGAGUAUUAAGCUUAGUUAUAGCCAUGUGAUUGUCUUGGCAAAGUUUUUACCUUUGGGAAGGCAAGAGAAGUCUAGAAGAUAGCAUGGUAAGUUGGUAGCAGCACCUGCAGUUUCGAUUUGCAGAUGGAUGAUAGAUCAGAGUGACCAUUUCAACGACGAAAUGGUGUCAUCGUGCAUGGAAUGAACACUGGACGGCUAAUGGGCUGCACGUCGAGCUGUGCCAUCAACAUCAACAUUCCUUGAUUGGUGGUUGGGGGUUUAUUUAUAUUCCUUCAUUUACCUGUUCUUACUCACAUAAAAUUCAGGUUUUCAGAUAAGUUUAUUCCGGCGAUCGUUCUUGGAAACGCAGGUCUUCUCUGCUCAUGCGAAACGUGGCAGCAACGAAAGAAUAAUUCUCAGAGAUGAAAUCCAGACAUCGCAAUUAUGCAUACAUUGACCUAAUGGCCUUUGACUCCAGAACUCAGACAUCUCUGUUCCUUGACUGCCAAGACAGAUCUUCCUACAAAUACCAAUAAGCAUCAAAAGUCAAAAUCGAGCAGCGAGUCGCCGUCCUGACAAUGGCGUAUGAAGCAGCAGAGGCCAUUGCUCUCAAGGGUGACAAUGGUGGCGUGAGAAGGAGAAGAAGCCAUGAGCAGCAGCAAGAGGAGGUGAGCAAGGAGAAGCAGCAGCUCAGAUGGAGAUGGAAGAGCAUCGCUCUCUGGAUCGUCAGGAAGGUUCACGCUGCCUCUGAUACCUCAGGGACGACGAAAUGAAUUGAAGGGCAUGUGACAAUUUUUUGUCUCAUACUCGUAGAUGCUUAAAGAUUGAAGGUUGUAUUUCUUAUAUUUUUAUUAGAUCAUGGUAUAUGAUGUUGCCAUACUGUAUAUUUAUUUAGUAGCGCCAGUAGCUAGGGAAGUGUGUCAUAUCAUCAAACUUGAGUUCUUCACCUGUAGUUGUAAUUAGCGGCUGGUGCCAUUUGUCGCGUAAGCAAGUGCCAAGGUCUGAAAUUAUAGCAAUC
Long non-coding RNA from Brachypodium distachyon (stiff brome), 1598 nucleotides. RefSeq lists it as uncharacterized. The record is from RefSeq and is a predicted model, not a curated record. The transcript is spliced from 5 exons. NCBI's taxonomy places the organism in Eukaryota, Viridiplantae, Streptophyta, Magnoliopsida, Poales, Poaceae.